ACCACAUUGAUAUAUUUUAUUGAUAUUAAUAUAGUCCUUGGUUAUACCGGAGGAGAUACAAAGUCGUGCGAAAAAUGAAAAAAAUCAAGGUACUUGUUGUGCAAACUCGUACGGUGAAUGGUGAACAUGGAAAACAGGCAUUAAACUGUUCUAUAAACGUAUUAUUAAACGAAAUGCUGUUGCAGUCGGAGCUCUUGCAUUGUAACCUUCUUGUAAUUUCACCAAGCAUAGUGAAAAUAAUGAUAAAAAAAAGAAAAAUAAUUAGCAUAAAGAAUCAUAAGAAAAUUGGUUCUACAUUUUGUUCUAGUCAUAUCGAACAUAACUAAAAAUGUUUCGACGAUGAUAAGAAAAAUGAGUUAACUGCUUAAGUGAGGUCCCCUAAUGGGAGACAAAUAAGUAGUCAAAUACAAACGUAGUAUGAAUAAGGAAAAAAUAUUCAUGUAAAGUAUUGUGGAAGUAAAAAUGGCAGUUUUCAAGUACAUACAUACGCUUAUAAAAGAAGCAAUAUUCUUAAACGUUAUUUUAUACUGAUUGUAAGUUUGAGCUACGCUUGUAUAAGUAUUAACGACCGAUGGAAGAUUAAACAGCGACGUAAAUCACGAAAUAAAUGAUUACAUUGAAGUGCCGUCGUAUUGCUUAUCUCACGGCAAGAGAAACUUUAUCGGGGAAAUAAGUAAGAAAGAAUAUGUUCCUUGCGUACACUGGUACGUAAAACCUUUUCUCUCGGUGAAAAACAAAUGAUCGGUUGCUUCGUAUCAGUCAAACAAUAAACACUUGCUAUUAUCUUAAUUAUUAUUGUAUCGCUACCGUAUAGUUAGAAUCUUCGAUUUACAUGAAAAUCAAGGAUCAAGUGAUCAAGAAUUUCAGAUUAAACGAAUGAUAAAAUAACUCAAAUAUUCUUUUUGAUUCGUAGGAGUGAUUAUUCUGACGUAAUAAAAAAAAGAAAAAAUAAAAAGAAAAGGAAAGAAAAAUAAUAAAUUUAUCGCGCAAAAUCCUAACCUCUUUUAUAGUUGACGAAUUUGAUGGCCUGACGCGACUCACGUAAAGUCCAAAUUACAUACUAAGCCGUCUCUUUAAUAUCGCGAAAAUAAUGGCAUUUGUGUUCAACAAUUAGGAACGUUAGGUGAUGAACAAUUACGUUUGCACAACAUCGACGUAAUUGCGAGUACGAAACAUUUUGUCUUUCCGGGAAGGGAAUUUAUCAUUUUAAGGGUCACUACGACUAAAGAUAUACUUUGGAAAAUCACUCGCAAGGACGAGUUUUGUUAAAAAAGAAAAAGUAAAAAUAAAAAAGUCGGAGUAUUUCCGAUGCGAUAACGAAGUAAAAAGUUACGUAAUAUAAAUCAUCUGUUGACGACUUUGAAACUAUGGAUGCAGAUAAUAACGAAUGUCAGAACUCAAUGAAGAUGUUCGCAUCGAACAUUUGACAUCUGUCAAUGACGGAGGACAACAGCGUAAUAGAAAACAGGAAAAAAAAACACUUGGAUUUAACCUGUUGUGCAUGAUUUUCAAAACUUUUUAAAUAAAUGGUAAUUAAUCGAUUAUGUAAACUGAUAAAUCGAUGGUUAUAUAUUUUCUUUGGCAAUUCAUUUCAA
Molecule: long non-coding RNA, 1595 nt
Filed under: Polistes dominula (European paper wasp)
Lineage: Eukaryota; Metazoa; Arthropoda; Insecta; Hymenoptera; Vespidae
Description: uncharacterized LOC107065048
Source: RNAcentral